This is a non-coding RNA of Meleagris gallopavo (turkey), 7798 nucleotides long. NCBI's taxonomy places the organism in Eukaryota, Metazoa, Chordata, Aves, Galliformes, Phasianidae. The record is from RefSeq and is a predicted model, not a curated record.
UCUUCUGUUUUUUUCUGUGGAAAUCUGUUCUGAGAAAGCUGAUUAGAAAUGUGUUGUUGAAACUUCAUUUGGUUCCUCUGGGAUUGUGGCUAGCAAGCUCUUGUAAUGGCUGGCUGGAAUUGAUGAAAUUUUAUCAGAUACUCAGUUGUUCUGCUGCUUGCAUACUGAAACCAAGGGAUUUGAAAGUUGGAUUUGUCUGCAUGAACAGUCAAAUAGUUGCUGAGAUUCUAAGCUGGAGAUGUAUUAAAGAGAAAUCUCUUGCUGUAUUUCCAGAGUGCAAUUUGCCAUGAUCUGAAAAAUUAGGACCUCAUGGUGCCAGAUUUGUUUCACAACAUUAAUAAUUCUUUCAUCAGUUCUUCAUCCUUCCACCUACCCAUUUGUGAUUGUUCUGAAACAGUGGAAGUUCACACAGAAAGACUCCAAUGGGUGCAGAGGCAGAAGUUGACAGAACUCAAGUGAUGGUUCUGUAAUGAGGAGAGGGCUAAUUGACAGUACCCCCAAUUUGUUUUCCUUCCUCAUGCUCAUCCUUCCAACCUUCACAUGAGGCUUUUGAAACAAAACAAAAACAGUAACAAAAUGUUUUUUUAAUCCCCCAUAACAAAAUGCCUUUUUUAAUCCCCCAUUCUGAAACUGAAUUUCAGGCUAAACUUUUCCAGGUGCUUACUGAGCUCUGUAUUUCCACUCUCUUGCAGUGCUUCCAUGUUAACUUAUUGUUAGGAACAUGCUUCUGCAUGUGCCCCUGGAUAUAUAUAUAUUUUGUACUAACACUGAAAGCUAAUUCUUUGUUAAAACUAGUCCAUGCUGCAUUUAUAUUAAUGAAUAGUCUAGGACUGCCAAGAUAGGGGAAGUGAGCAGCAAGUUUGUACAGAAGUAGGAAAAAGGUUAAAGUUGCCCUUUAAGGGGAAAAGAAAAUAUUGAAAGAUUCAAUUUUCAGCGUACUGUGACCUCAAAUAAGAUUUCCUUUAUUCUUAAGUGUAAUGGUGCUUGUUUUUCUACAGGAAAAAAAAAAAAAGAAGUCUAGUUUUAACUGGGGCACUCACCGGAGAGUCUGCUGACACAGCAUUCCCUUAACACUCUUGCCUGCUUAAUUAGGAUCUGGAUUUUGUUAACUUCAUGGUUAGAUUGUGUUCUGGAGGCCAUCUGAAGAUACUAGAUAAUGUGUACUUGCCUGGUUGCCUGGAUCAUCAAAAGCUGAACUAUCUGUGUCGUGUCCCCCCCCCCCUUCACACCCAAACUGACUUGAAUUGUGAAUGGAUUUACUUACCGAAGUGUUACUACUGCGGAUCCCUGACUCAUACUGAAGAGGCUGUCCUUCCAUAUCAAGCAUGGAGACUUCUGCCAACGUGCUUAAAAUGUUCUUUGAAGCAGGAUAGGUACAUACAGAACGUGUUGCAAUUCCAACAUGACUGAAGUUUCUUGCCUACUUGACCUGAUCACAGAACCACGAGGUGUUGUGGGAUUAAGGGACCUUGAAGAUCAUCCAGUUCUAACACGGGCAAGAAUGCUUUCCGUGCUCUUCCACUUUCCAGAUCUUGAUUCAUGGGUAAGAAAUCUGUAACUUAGGUAAACUGAAAGUUGAGUUGUCGAUGCCUUCAAUUAGGGCCAUUGGUGAGCAGAAUAUGAAAAUGUAAGUAGAGCUGUGUAAAUUGCAGACACUUACUUUCUAUUAGGGAGGAGAGCAGUAAAUGUAGGUUUGAGAAGUGCUCUUCAGCGAUACAUAAUUCUUACUGAUGUCAGAAGUGGCAUGCUCAAUAUUGUCUUGAUGGAUUUACAACUCCGUAAUCUGCUGCUCUGUAGCAGCUCCUCUCAGAUUUUUUCAUCCACAUACGCACACAAAAUGUCAACCAGCUGAGUAGGCAAAACUAAGGUAAACAACUUGUACUGGCUGGAGAAGGAACAGUUAUCACAGCUGUUGGUACACAUGGGACAGAUGUGAUCAGGUUCAGCAUAGGUGGUAUGUGCUGCUGCAGCUGUGAGUGAUCCAUAUGUCUUUUGCCUUUUCCCAAGAGCGGUCCUGCCAGUUAACCUCUCCUUUCCCCAGUUUUCAGUUGCAAGUUUCUUCAUGGAUUCCCAUAAUCCUUGCAGGUCUAAGUCUUCCACCAUUGCAUUUGGUGGGUUUAACCCGUCUAGUGUCCUGUAAGGUGCCCACUUUAAAUUGCCUAAUUGGUGAUUCUAUGCUAACUCAUUCCUCCCACUGGUAACAGUCAAUUUACUAGCGCCAAGGGAAAAUAACUUUUACUAAUUGAUGUCUACUUUAGUCAGUCAAACCAUUAGGUGUUUAAUUUUAUGAGUUGAUGUUUAAAAUCUUAGAAUCCUGGAACAGCAUAGCUCUGAAAGAAGCUUAGAUCAUGUAGUUCCAAUGCCCUCCUCUCAGCAGAGUUGCCAGCCACCAGAUCAGCCUUCCCAGUGUCCCAUCCAGCCUGGCUUUGAACACCUACAGGUUUGGGGCAUCCACAGCUUCUGUGAUCAACCUGUCCCAGAAUCUCACCACCCUCUGGAUGAAGAAUUUCCUCCUAAUAUCUAAUCAAAAUCUCCCCUCCUUCUGUUUAAAACUGUUCUACCUUGUCCUGUCAUUGUCAGACCAUGUAAAAACUUGUUCUCCCUCCAGGUUAUAAGAUGUACUGAAGGCCACAACAAGGUCUUGUUAGUGCCUUCUCCAGGCAGAACAAACCCAGCUCCCUCAACCUUUCUUAGAUGACAGGUGCUCUAGCCCUCCUGUUAUGAUUGUGGCCCUCCUCUGGACCUAUUCCAAGAGAUCAAUGUCUUUCUUGUGCUGCGGGUCCUAGGUUUGUAUGCAUUACUGCAGGUAAGGCCUCACAAGGGCAGAGCACAGACAGUCACCUCCCUUGCUCUACUGGACACUCUUGUUUUGAUGCAGCCCAUGAUACAGUGGGCCUUUUGGGCUACAAAUGUGAACUGUUGGCUCUUCUAAGGCUUUUCACAGGAUCACAGAAACAGCAAGGUUGGAAAAGACCUACAAGCUCAUGCAGUCCAACCAUAGAUUUCGUUCAUCAGAACCCCCAGGUCAUUUUUCCAGGGUUACUCUCUGUGAGUUCUUCUGAUCUGUACACAUACUUGGGAUUGCCCAGACCCAAGUGCAACACCUUGCACUUUGCCUUGUUGGAUCUCAGUAAGAUCCUGUGGAUCCACUUUCCUUGUCUAGGUCCCUUUGAAUGGCAUGCUUUCCAUCUGUUGUGUCAAAUGCAGCACUCAUCUUGAUGUCAUCAGAAAACUUGCUGAGAGUACACUUGAUCCCUCUGUCUAUACCAUUGACUAAGAUGUUGAAAAUUCCCAAGUGGGAUACCACUCAUCACCUGUAUCUACCUGGACAUAGAGCCAUCCACCACAACCCUCUGGCAGCAAGUAUCCAACCAAUCCUUUACCCAUUAAAUAACUAUCCAAAUCCAUACAUUUCUAAUUUAGAGAUAAGAAUUUGGUGUGGGAUCGUAUUGAAGGCUUUGCACAAGUCUAGAUAGGUGACAUCAGUUGCUCUUCCUUUGUCCACUGAUGCUGUCGCUCCAUCAUUGGAGGCCUCCAGGUAGAUGAGACACAAUCUGACCUUGGUGAAGCCAUGCUGGUUGUCCCAGAUCAUCCCUGUAUUGUAUUAUUGUAGCUUCCACGAUUUUCUCAAGCAGAGUGGUGAGGCUUACCAGCCUGUAUUUCCCCGGCUUUCCUUUCUCUCUCAAAACUUCAAGGGACUUUUUCCUUUUUCCAGUCACUGAGAACUUCACCUGACAUCCGUGGCUUUUUGAAUUUGAUGGAGAGUUGUUUGCCAAUCACAUUGGCCUGUUGGCCAAAGUUAUUGGCCACAUUGUGCAAUAACUGAGAUACCAAAGAUGAAAUAAAAGAGCCAGUGGUUUGUUGUGGCUUUACUCCAGCAGGCAGCUGAGCACCAGCAAGCUGUUCUCUCUCUUUCUUGCACUGGGACGGGAGAGAAAAUCGAGGGGGCAGUAACUCUUUGGUUGAGAUAAAGGCAAUUUGAUGAGACAGAAAAGGAGGGGAAAGUAAUAGUAAUAAUAGCUGUAUACAAUAGAAGAAGUGGUGCACAAUGCAGGUUCUCACCACCUACUGACAAAUGCCUGCUCAGUCCUGCAAAAUGGCUGCCUGUUCAGCCAAUUGCCCACAGUUUUUUAUGGUUCAUCAUGAAUUCAUAUGGUGUGGAACAUGCCUUUGACCCAUUUGGAUCAGCUGGACUGAUUCUGUUGCCCUCCCAGCUCCUUAUGCAGUUCAGCUCCUCACUGGCAAGGCAGAUGAGAAGCAGAAAAGGCUUUCAUUCAGCACAAGCACCACUCAGCAACAACUAAAACACCAAUACGGUAUCAGUGUUGUUUUUCUCCUAAAUCCAAAGCACAGCAUCAUACCAACCACUGUGAAGAAAAGUAACUCUAGUCCUGCUGAAAGCAGGACAGCGUACUGCUGAGAUGGUCAUCCAGUGGUGUGGUCUACCACAGAGAUCUGCAUGUACGUCACAACCCAUUCUCCUGCUAGUCUGUUGUUGCAAGGACAUGUCUGAUCUAUCAUGGUGAAUAUGAGUUUAUUGAUGGACUCAAUACAGAUAGAGUGAGGAUGAUGUACGCGUAUUUUGCUAGUGUGAAUGCUACAAAGUUUCGUUGCUGGAGAGAUAUGAACCCUCCUGUAUAAUUUCGAGUGGUAGUUUAAGGAACAGCUGUUUUAGCUAAGAGUUCAUUCUCUGCUUGGAAGGGCAAGUGUUAUGUGCAUGAAAAACAGCUUCCUUGUUUUAUAUUUGGAAAGUUAUGGCCUAGUCCAAAUAAAUCUCCCCCUCUUGGUAUUCAUGGUUUCCAUGCCUGUGCUUAGAAUCUUUCUGCACUUUUACUUCUGUGGGGGAGAGUGUUCUGGAGCUGGGAUACGAGAGAGCCUGAAAACACUUCUUGUGAGGAGCUGAUGUGCAGUCUGUGUGAAAAUUCAAAACAUACCCCAGUGGGAUGUGAAGGUGAGUGACACAGUGCUGAGCAACUGCAUUGGCAUAGCACUCUGAAUGGGUAACUGUUAAUAAUGAAGGAGUUUAGAUUUAAAGAUGUUCGGCAUUAAUAUAAACAAGACCAGUGUUUGCCAAUCUCUGUUAGUUGGCACAGGAAGCAGUGAAGUAAAAUUGUAGUUCAUCUUGUUCACUUUAUACAAAUCAUACAACCUUUGAAAGGGCUAAAGUAAGGAGGAUUUGUAUCCUGGCUGCUGAUAUUUGAAAGGGACUGUAAAAAGGAAGGAACGUUGCUACUUUAGUAGGUUAUGAUUGAAGAAAGUGAAAUUUACCAUACUGCAAAAAGGCAGAUUUGUAUAGGUAAUGCUUAAAAGCUAAACAUCCUUAUUCCAGAUCCAACUUCAAGUAUGCAGUCACAAAGGCAUGGAUUUUGUGAGACGGAAGCUUUUUGAAGACCUAGCAGUUUUUAUGCAAUUCGUUGGGUUUGUGGUGGUCUUCUCUAUUAUGAUACUUUCUGUUAACCUUUGUCUUUUUUCUCUAACCAAAAGUUUCUCUUGCUAGUUUUCUCUUUUUCUCUGUGUUUGCCUGAAAUUAUUUUUGCUAUAACUUUUAUGGAAAAUCUACCCCCCAUCUUAACAUGCUUGUGCUCUGAAAUCUGGUUCUGUAAAAUCAUCUGUUUUCUUAGCUUUCUGAUCCACUAUACAUUUAUGUUGCCUUAAAGAUCCUAAACUGAAUUUAAAAUAGUUUUCUUUUGCUCUGCAAAGCAGUCUGAAGGAAACUUAUUUUGCUUCCCUUCUGACCCAUUUUCUCAGAUAGAUCAGUCGUGUGAAACCACUGAAAUCACAAGAGAGUGUCCAGAAUUGUACAGAGGUGGGGAAUGGGUGGGGGAAUGGGAGUCUUGCUAAUCAGAGACCUGAGUGUAGGCAGCAAUUAAUGCUGUCCUCCAGAGCCGGGAGGAGUGUGGCUUGUGUGGGUGACUUGUGGCUGUAACCAUGAGAAAGCUCUUCAUUUGCACUUCUGCCUUGCUGGGGGAGUGCAUGCAGAACGCCAUUUCAGAUGUGACCUCUGUGCAAACAGUUUGGAGGCCAUCAGGCAGCAGAUCCAGCGCUUUCUUCAGUCUGUAUGUUCAGCUGUUGCUGUGACCGUGCAUUGUGACCCCUGCAUACUGAGCCAGUGUUUGACAAGCAGACGCUGGCUAACCUCACUGCAUAUUUACAUUUGGGUGCAGGCAAGAAAUGAAUAAAUACUCUGUGUUGCAAUCUCAAGUUAAUCUGUAUCCACUGCAGUGAUUACUGCAGACGGUCUGGUGGCCUUCUGUGAUGGAAUGAGUGGACAAAGGAUGUCAUCUACUUGCGCAAAGCCUUCAGUAUGGGCCCACACCACAUUCUUAUCCCUAAAUUGGAGAGAUAUGGACUUCAUGGGUGAGCUGUUCAAUGGAGCAGGAAUUGGCUGGAUAGUUGCAGGCAGAGGACUGUGGUCAAUGGCUCUACGUCCAGGUGGAUGUUGGUGAUGAGCGGUGUUCCACAGCGUUCUGUCUUGGUCCCAAUGGUUUUCAGUACCUUCAUCAGAGACCCAGUUAAUGCGAUCGAGUACAACAUCAGCAAGUUGCUUAUGACAUAACCUGUGAAGAAAGGUUGAGGGAGCUGGGCUUUUUCUUCCUGGAAAAGGCUUGGGGAGACCUUGCUGUGGCCUUCCAGUGUUAAAGGGAGCUUGUAGGCAGGAAAGAGACUGACUCUUUUACAGGGUCUGAUAGUGAUAGGACAAGAGGGAACCGGAAACUAAAAAAGGAGGUUUAGAUCAGAUGUUAGGAGGAAACUCUUUGCUCAGGGACUGGUGAGGCCCUGGCGCAGUUGCCCAGAGAAGCUGUGGUGCCCUGUUCCUGCAGCCCUGCCCACAGGAGGGUGUUGGAAGUACGUGAUCUUUAAUGUCCCUUCCAAGUCAAGCCAUUCUAGGAUUCAUUCUGUGACUGUAUUUCUUUUUUAGUGGAUUUAACCUGUGGAGUAUUGCUUCCUCCUGACUUUUAGGCAGGUCAGCAACUCGAUGCAGUGCUUUGGCCAUUUUGUUUAUAGUUUAUUUGGAAAUAACAAUAGACUGUUUGUGGAUUUGUGCUGUGAAAUUUGCAGGAAUGUUGUUAUGAAUUUGGUAUUUAUUCUCUGUACUUUAAUUCUUGCUUGGGGCUCUGUAGAGCUUACAAGAUUGUGAGGUUUGUUUGUGUCACUUUGACCAGGCAAGAUAAGAGAACGUGCAUGUGAGCCUUGGCGACCUCACAGUUUGGCACCUUUGUUUAGCUAACUGAUGAUGGUAAAGAAAUGGUAAAAGUCAAUAAUGUGUGACUGAAUUGCCUCUGUGGGUUGCCAAGACAUUGGCUUAAAUGAGAAAUGUUCCUGGUUCAAUUUGUACUUAGAUAAAAGUAUGUCAGCUGAGUACGGUGGAGUCGUAUGGUCAUAUUGAAGUGAUGAUCUCACCUGCUUUUAUCUGUUAGGCUUUUCCACCAGAAGUGAGUAUUCUAUAAAAUAAAAUUCUCAUCUUGGAAGGCAGAAAAUAAAACUCAUUAGGAUCGUAGCUUGCAGUCAGAGCAAGGAAGAAGUUCAUUUCAAUAGUGCUCAGUACAAGAAGCAUUGAGGUUGCUUUAGAAGGGGAAUGCCUGUGUGAGUCAUGCUUACCAAAGAAGAGGACAACCAAAAUUUGGUGAGAUGUGUGAGGGACUGGUAUCUGCAAAGCUGGGAAAAGGGAUCUCAGAAAAUGACUUGCAGUUGCGAAUGUGAGAGGUGACACCUCAGUAGCAGCUGGAAUUUUAGGGCAAUACAGGCUCCAGUGCAAAAAGUAAACGGUCUUUGGCCUUAUACAAGGACAAAAAAAAAA